GAUCGAACGGCGUAGCUACAGGCGUUAACACAUGCAAGUCGAGGGGCAGCAAUGAAAGGAACUUCGGUUCUUUUUGAUGGCGACCGGCGCACGGGUGCGUAACGCGUAUCGAACCUGCCUCAUACUCGGGGAUAGCCUUGCGAAAGUAAGAUUAAUACCCGGCGGUCUCGGAUGGCCGCAUGACUAUCCGAGUGAAGAUUUAUCGGUAUGAGAUGGCGAUGCGUCCCAUUAGCUUGUUGGUGAGGUAACGGCUCACCAAGGCAUCGAUGGGUAGGGGUUCUGAGAGGAAGGUCCCCCACAUUGGAACUGAGACACGGUCCAA
Molecule: ribosomal RNA, 322 nt
Filed under: uncultured bacterium
Lineage: Bacteria
Description: bacterial SSU rRNA
Rfam family: Bacterial small subunit ribosomal RNA
Source: RNAcentral